CAGUAGCCGCGGUAACACGAAGGGUGCAAGCGUUACUCGGAAUUACUGGGCGUAAAGCGUGCGUAGGUGGUGGUUUAAGUCCGUUGUGAAAGCCCUGGGCUCAACCUGGGAAUUGCAGUGGAUACUGGGUCACUAGAGUGUGGUAGAGGAUAGUGGAAUUUCCGGUGUAGCAGUGAAAUGCGUAGAGAUCGGAAGGAACAUCUGUGGCGAAGGCGACUAUCUGGGCCAACACUGACACUGAGGCACGAAAGCGUGGGGAGCAAACAGGAUUAGAUACCCCGGUAGUCCCUGUCUCUUAUAC
Molecule: ribosomal RNA, 301 nt
Filed under: uncultured bacterium
Lineage: Bacteria
Description: partial 16S ribosomal RNA
Rfam family: Bacterial small subunit ribosomal RNA
Source: RNAcentral